UGUUUCGGCUAGGGGGCCAUCCCGGCUUACCAACCCGAUGCAAACUGCGAAUACCGGAGAAUGUUAUCACGGGAGACACACGGCGGGUGCUAACGUCCGUCGUGAAGAGGGAAACAACCCAGACCGCCAGCUAAGGUCCCAAAGUCAUGGUUAAGUGGGAAACGAUGUGGGAAGGCCCAGACAGCCAGGAUGUUGGCUUAGAAGCAGCCAUCAUUUAAAGAAAGCGUAAUAGCUCACUGGUCGAGUCGGCCUGCGCGGAAGAUGUAACGGGGCUAAACCAUGCACCGAAGCUGCGGCAGC
RNAcentral lists this ribosomal RNA (300 nucleotides) under Salmonella enterica. RNAcentral's name for it is "partial 23S ribosomal RNA". It matches the Rfam family "Bacterial large subunit ribosomal RNA", at positions 911 to 1209 of the family's 2925-position model. The record is from RNAcentral. RNAcentral also lists the same sequence under 1 other name. Lineage: Bacteria; Pseudomonadati; Pseudomonadota; Gammaproteobacteria; Enterobacterales; Enterobacteriaceae.